CGAAGGACCCGAGCGUUAUCCGGAUUUAUUGGGUUUAAAGGGUGCGUAGGCGAACUAGUAAGUCAGUGGUGAAAGCCCAUCGCUUAACGGUGGAACUGCCAUUGAUACUGCUAGUCUUGAGUAUGGUUGAGGUGGGCGGAAUGUGUCAUGUAGCGGUGAAAUGCUUAGAUAUGACCCAGAACACCAAUUGCGAAGGCAGCUCGCUAAGCCAUAACUGACGCUGAUGCACGAAAGCGUGGGGAGCAAACAGGAUUAGAUACCCUGGUAGUCCACGCCCUAAACUAUGAUCACUCGUUGUUGGCGAUACACAGUCAGCGACUAAGGGAAACCAUUAAGUGAUCCACCUGGGAAGUACGACCGCAAGGUUG
Molecule: ribosomal RNA, 368 nt
Filed under: uncultured organism
Description: bacterial SSU rRNA
Rfam family: Bacterial small subunit ribosomal RNA
Source: RNAcentral